GAUUCUGGCUCAGGAUGAACGCUGGCGGCGUGCCUAAUACAUGCAAGUCGAACGGAGAUACCUUUCGGAAGCCUUCGGGCAGACGAGUUGGUAAUCUUAGUGGCGGACGGGUGAGUAACACGUGAGCAACCUGCCUUUCAGAGGGGGACAACGGCUGGAAACGGCCGCUAAUACCGCAUAACAUAUCGGAUAGGCAUCUAACUGAUAUCAAAGGAGCAAUCCGCUGAAAGAUGGGCUCGCGUCUGAUUAGAUAGUUGGUGAGGUAACGGCUCACCAAGUCGACGAUCAGUAGCCGGACUGAGAGGUUGAACGGCCACAUUGGGACUGAGAUACGGCCCAGACUCCUACGGGAGGCAGCAGUAGGGAAUAUUGCACAAUGGGGGAAACCCUGAAUGCAGCAACGCCGCGUGAAGGAAGACGGUUUUCGGAUUGUAAACUUCUUUUCUUUGUGAAGAAACAAAUGACGGUAGCAAAGGAAUAAGCAUCGGCUAACUACGUGCCAGCCGCCGC
Molecule: ribosomal RNA, 510 nt
Filed under: uncultured bacterium
Lineage: Bacteria
Description: bacterial SSU rRNA
Rfam family: Bacterial small subunit ribosomal RNA
Source: RNAcentral